CGAUGGGCCGCAGGUUGGAGGCGGCGGCGAGGACGUAGCGGAUCGGAGCCAUUCGGGCCCCAGGCCGGGCCCCCCCUCUGGUGUCUGAGCCGUGGGGAAGGGCUCGAGUCGUGUGUUCAAGAGGCGGCAGGAGGGUCGGGAUUCUUUCCAAGUUCUCCUGCGGCCGUUUGGUUGCAGAGGAAGGGCCGUCAGGGAACGGGCAGUGCCUGACCUGGCGGUGCAGAGCGCUUGGAUGGUCACAAAUUAUGAACGUACACGGCGAGUCUUGCUGUGUUUCAGUGAUUCCACACCGAGAGAUGGCUCCUUCUCAUGUCACCAAAGAGGAGUUCCUGUGGAUGGCCACUUUCUGUGCAAGCAUAAACCUGAUCCUACAUAGAAGAGGUCAGAGUUGUGAUGCUACAGUUAAAUGGAACUGAAUUACUGCAUCAUAUAAAGGAAACUAACACACAAUCUUUUAUGCUUUUGUCACCUGACUGGACUUGAUAGAUAAAAUCAAUACAGGUUUUUCAGUCGAUGAUUCAUCAGCAAUACAUUCUGCUCAGUGUGUACUCUUGUCACAGAAAAAAAUGCCUUGAAUGAGAAAAACUGAUAUUGCCCCAAAUAAAUUGAUACUCAGCUGAAUAUCACAGAUUUCACAGAGUAACCCAGAAAAUCAGAGUGCACCUUACAUUCUUCAUAAAUUUCUGUCCAUCACAGGGGCAAUACCUGUGACUGGUAACACUUUAAAUGUGUCAGUCUGGUUCAAUGAAUGAUUUUAUUAAACAACUGGAAAUUUUA
This is a long non-coding RNA of Empidonax traillii (willow flycatcher), 777 nucleotides long. RefSeq lists it as uncharacterized. The transcript has 3 exons. Lineage: Eukaryota; Metazoa; Chordata; Aves; Passeriformes; Tyrannidae. The record is from RefSeq and is a predicted model, not a curated record.